This is a non-coding RNA of Schizosaccharomyces pombe (fission yeast), 242 nucleotides long. The record is from the annotation of a GenBank genome assembly. Lineage: Eukaryota; Fungi; Ascomycota; Schizosaccharomycetes; Schizosaccharomycetales; Schizosaccharomycetaceae.
CAAACUGUGAUUGCUACGAUUGAAUGGCAUACGCAACUCGCGAAACGAAGGAUUUUGUCGUAAGUCUUUUACAAUUUUCAGGUUUUGUAAACGAUUUUCUACCUCCAAUACUUCCUUUUCUUGUUCUUCUGUAUAUUUGACUUGAUAGAUAUGCUUUUCCAUAACAAAAUUUCCAAACAUAUACCCAGCGGCCGCGCAAGUCCCUGACACACCGGCAUAAACGACUCCUUUCUUCAUCAAUG